AGUAAAGGUUGGACAUGUUUGCUAGUCUACCUUGCCACGAAGAACAGAGGUUGACACACAGGGACUUUCCAAUUAUCCAGCAGUGGUACUGUUCCUUUACCCUCUCUUCGAUUUUUGAGAAAGUAAUCAUGUUGGGAGUCUGGCUCUCGAGAUUCGGAGGGCGGUGCUUCUUCGAUUUUGGAGCAAGCAAUCUUGUUGGGAGUGUUUUCUCGAAUGUGAGUAAAGGUUGGGCAUGUUUGCUAGUCUACCUUGCCACGAAGCACAGAGGUUGACACACAGGGACUUUCCAAUUAUCCAGCAAUGGUACUGUUCCUUUACC
Molecule: long non-coding RNA, 319 nt
Filed under: Malus domestica (apple)
Lineage: Eukaryota; Viridiplantae; Streptophyta; Magnoliopsida; Rosales; Rosaceae
Description: long non-coding RNA (MDOM_LNC006960)
Source: RNAcentral